UGUAUUUUGCUCAAAAAGCGCACAAUGUAUCUGCAAAUAUAAUUCUGCAAAUUCAAAAUCACACAAAAGACUUAUAUGUAAGUGUGCAUCCAUGAGAG
Chiloscyllium plagiosum (whitespotted bambooshark) is the source of this 98-nucleotide non-coding RNA. Lineage: Eukaryota; Metazoa; Chordata; Chondrichthyes; Orectolobiformes; Hemiscylliidae. The record is from RefSeq and is a predicted model, not a curated record.